This 497-nucleotide ribosomal RNA is filed under the name uncultured bacterium. Its description in RNAcentral is "partial 16S ribosomal RNA". It matches the Rfam family "Bacterial small subunit ribosomal RNA", at positions 28 to 507 of the family's 1533-position model. The record is from RNAcentral.
GAUGAACGCUGGCGGCGUGCCUAAUACAUGCAAGUCGAGCGAACGGACGAGAAGCUUGCUUUUCUGAUGUUAGCGGCGGACGGGUGAGUAACACGUGGAUAACCUACCUAUAAGACUGGGAUAACUUCGGGAAACCGGAGCUAAUACCGGAUAAUAUUUUGAACCGCAUGGUUCAAAAGUGAAGGACGGUCUUGCUGUCACUUAUAGAUGGAUCCGCGCUGCAUUAGCUAGUUGGUAAGGUAACGGCUUACCAAGGCAACGAUGCAUAGCCGACCUGAGAGGGUGAUCGGCCACACUGGAACUGAGACACGGUCCAGACUCCUACGGGAGGCAGCAGUAGGGAAUCUUCCGCAAUGGGCGAAAGCCUGACGGAGCAACGCCGCGUGAGUGAUGGAGGUCUUCGGAUCGUAAAACUCUGUUAUUAGGGAAGAACAUAUGUGUAAGUAACUGUGCACAUCUUGACGGUACCUAAUCAGAAAGCCACGGCUAACUACGUG